UAGUUCUCGUUGAUCCUGCGAGAGGUUGCUGCUAUGAGGGUGCGACUUAGCCAUGCAAGUCAGGGAAGCAAUUCCCGGCGAAUAGCUCAGUAACACGUCGAUAACCUGCCCUUUGGUCAUGGAUAACCUCGGGAAACUGAGGACAAUACAUGGUAGGGAAUGGGCACUGGAACGUCCCAUUUCUGAAAGGUAACGCCAAAGGAUGGGUCGGCGGCCGAUUAGGUUGUUGGUGAGGUAAUGGCUCACCAAGCCGACGAUCGGUAGGGGCCGUGAGAGCGGUAGCCCCGAGAAGGGAACUGAGACACUGUCCCUAGCCCUAAGGGGUGCAGCAGGCGCGUAACCUUUACAAUGUGCGAAAGCGUGAUAAGGGUACCCUCAGUGCUUAUGCAAUGCAUAGGCUUUUGUCAAGGGUAAAAACCUUGGCGAAUAAGUGGUGGGUAAGACUGGUGCCAGCCGCCGCGGUAACACCAGCGCCACGAGUGGGAACCGCUUUUAUUGGGCCUAAAGCGUCCGUAGCAGGUCAUGUAAAUUCUUUGUGAAAUCAUCCAGCUCAACUGGUUGACGCGCAAAGAACACUGCAUGACUAGGGACCGGGAGGGGCAAGAGGUAUUCUUGGGGGAGCGGUAAAAUGCUAUAAUCCCAAGAGGACCACCUGUGGCGAAGGCGUCUUGCCAGAACGGAUCCGACUGUGAGGGACGAAAGCUAGGGGAGCNNNNNNNNGUGCGGCGUGCGGUUUAAUCUAACUCAACACAGAGAAUCUCACCAGCAGCGACGGCAGGAUGAAAGUCAGGUUGAAGGCCUUACUUGACGAGCCGAGAGGUGGUGCAUGGCCGUCGUCAGCUCGUGCCGUAAGGUGUCCUCUUAAGUGAGGCAACGAGCGAGACCUGUACUCGCAAUUGCUAACAGGCUCAGUGACUGAGCACAAUGCGAGGACUGCCUUGGAAACAAGGAGGA
RNAcentral lists this ribosomal RNA (954 nucleotides) under Candidatus Woesearchaeota archaeon. RNAcentral describes it as "bacterial SSU rRNA". It matches the Rfam family "Archaeal small subunit ribosomal RNA", at positions 1 to 1126 of the family's 1478-position model. The record is from RNAcentral. Lineage: Archaea; Nanobdellati; Candidatus Woesearchaeota.